UCCUAUUUGUGGGCGAAGCCCCCUCCAGG
This 29-nucleotide non-coding RNA is filed under the name Rattus norvegicus (Norway rat). The record is from RNAcentral. Lineage: Eukaryota; Metazoa; Chordata; Mammalia; Rodentia; Muridae.